This is a long non-coding RNA of Aphis gossypii (cotton aphid), 468 nucleotides long. RefSeq lists it as uncharacterized. The record is from RefSeq and is a predicted model, not a curated record. Lineage: Eukaryota; Metazoa; Arthropoda; Insecta; Hemiptera; Aphididae. The transcript is spliced from 2 exons.
UCUGGCAGUCGAGCUGUUUGGUAGUCAUCGCAACUUUAUAUCUGUUAGUUUCUGUCAUUCAAACAACACAUUUUACCAAGAGCGUCAUUCGUCCAUUGUCUACGUAGUCCAUAAUCCAGUUAUGCAUUCUACAGAUGGCUUAUAUAGUUAUAUCCUAUUAAAACCUUUCAAAAAGACGAUAAGGUGUACCCGACAAAUAUGUUUUUAUGUGAUGCAAUAAUAUAAUUAUAUUAACACAAUAUGCAAAUCGGAUUUUACAAGAUAGAACAUAAUGAAGAUACAUAAAAUAACAUAUACAUAAUAUUUAUACUAGAUAAUUAUAAUAUAUAUGUAAAUGAGACAUUCUGACCAUUCUGUACCAAAAUACAUUGAAGUGUCACAGCCUCAACAGGCGCUAUCAGUAUAAUAAAAUAUAUAAUAAUUUUAAUUUGUUAUUGAAACUUAAUAUACUAACCUACUAACCCUUUA